AGCUACUAAUAUUACGGUGAUGAAGGUUGUGGUCUGCGUCAGCGGCGGCUCUCUUAGAGCUUCUGCGUCGGCUCCUUCUCCCUCGUCGCCGCUGGCUUUGGCGACCAGUGCUGCUGCUGCUAGUGUUCUAUUUUGGAAGAGUGUCUUGAUAAGGAUCGUCCUUCUUCUUGGGCCGAUUCUUCUUUGCUGAAGGCGAAAGAAGAGCACGAAGUCGAGGAGUCAACAGGCAUCUCUGGAUGAUUGUUCUCUCUGUCUGCACUGUAUUUUAGCUGCUUCUUGGUGUUAUGGUGAAGAUUGAAGACUGCGUAAUGGCAGUUGAGUAAAUAUGUCUGGGACUGAAUCUCGAGGCCCAGGGCCAGAUCUUGGUGGACAUGGGUGAUGCACAUAGAGCCUCAAAUUGUAGGCUCAAAUCAAAGUGGGUUGCAAUUUGCUGGUAAUAUGCCCUGCCAUGGUCCAUAAGAACAUUUCAAGAAAAUGAAUACUGGAAGGCAGCCAUACAUAAUACCGAAUGUCAUGGAUGUACAUAUGUUUGGCUUUGAUGGUGGUCAUGGAGGGACAUAGAUGAAGGCCCCUUUUGCUUUUUUAUUAUAUGGUGGUAUUGAAUACAAUUAAAACUCUUAAUAUAUAUGUUUGGAAUUAUAUUAAGCUAGUAACUUUUAUCAAAUGUAUUGGUUUAUUUUAUAUGAAUAAAAGAAUUGUGGUUUAUUUUA
Molecule: long non-coding RNA, 710 nt
Organism: Malania oleifera
Lineage: Eukaryota; Viridiplantae; Streptophyta; Magnoliopsida; Santalales; Ximeniaceae
Exons: 6
Source: RefSeq, a predicted model, not a curated record